GAUGAACGCUAGCGAUAGGCCUAACACAUGCAAGUCGAGGGGCAGCAUAAGGAAGUAGCAAUACUUUCUGGUGGCGACCGGCGCACGGGUGAGUAACACGUAUGCAACCUGCCUUCAACAAGGGGAUAACCCGUUGAAAGACGGACUAAUACCCUAUAACACAGGGGUCCCGCAUGGGAAUAUUUGUUAAAGGACAACCGGUUGAAGAUGGGCAUGCGUUCCAUUAGCUAGUUGGCGGGAUAACGGCCCACCAAGGCAACGAUGGAUAGGGGAACUGAGAGGUUUAUCCCCCACACUGGUACUGAGACACGGCCCAGACUCCUACGGGAGGCAGCAGUAGGGAAUUUUCGGCAAUGGGGGAAACCCUGACCGAGCAAUGCCGCGUGAACGAUGAAGGUCUUCGGAUUGUAAAGUUCUGUGAUUGGGGAAGAAUGGUAUUCUUAGGGAAUGAGGAGUACAUGACGGUACCCGAUUAGAAAGCCCCGGUAACUAUGUGCCAGCAG
RNAcentral lists this ribosomal RNA (503 nucleotides) under uncultured bacterium. RNAcentral describes it as "bacterial SSU rRNA". It matches the Rfam family "Bacterial small subunit ribosomal RNA", at positions 28 to 514 of the family's 1533-position model. The record is from RNAcentral.